Molecule: non-coding RNA, 84 nt
Organism: Colletotrichum caudatum
Lineage: Eukaryota; Fungi; Ascomycota; Sordariomycetes; Glomerellales; Glomerellaceae
Source: the annotation of a GenBank genome assembly
GGCCGGUUGGCCCAAUGGCAAGGCGUCUGACUACGAUUAUACCGUGGAAUCAGGAGAUUGUGGGUUCGACCCCCAUGCUGGUCA